UUGCUUACCUGGCAGGGGUAAUACCAUGAUCAAGGAGGCAGUUUGGCCAACAUGAGGCUUGCGCUCAGGAUGUGCUGACCUUUGUAAAUUCCCCAAAUGCUGGAAUUCAACUGGAUAAUUUCUGAUUGUGGGGGACUGCGUUUUCACUGUCCUUUC
Small nuclear RNA from Tachysurus fulvidraco (yellow catfish), 156 nucleotides. RefSeq annotates it as U1 spliceosomal RNA. The transcript has a single exon. The record is from RefSeq and is a predicted model, not a curated record. NCBI's taxonomy places the organism in Eukaryota, Metazoa, Chordata, Actinopteri, Siluriformes, Bagridae.